AGAAUCAACGCUGGCGGCGUGCCUAACACAUGCAAGUCGCACGAGAAAGGGACUUCGGUCCUGAGUACAGUGGCGCACGGGUGAGUAACACGUGAAUAAUCUGCCUCCGAGUGGGGAAUAACUGAGAGAAAUCUUAGCUAAUACCGCAUAACACUUACGAGUCAAAGCAGCAAUGCGCUUGGAGAGGAGUUCGCGGCCGAUUAGUUAGUUGGCGGGGUAAUGGCCCACCAAGACGAUGAUCGGUA
Molecule: ribosomal RNA, 245 nt
Filed under: uncultured bacterium
Lineage: Bacteria
Description: partial small subunit ribosomal RNA
Rfam family: Bacterial small subunit ribosomal RNA
Source: RNAcentral